RNAcentral lists this ribosomal RNA (878 nucleotides) under uncultured bacterium. RNAcentral's name for it is "bacterial SSU rRNA". It matches the Rfam family "Bacterial small subunit ribosomal RNA", at positions 618 to 1502 of the family's 1533-position model. The record is from RNAcentral.
GGCCUGCAUUUGAAACUGUAGUUCUUGAGUACUGGAGAGGCAGACGGAAUUCCUAGUGUAGCGGUGAAAUGCGUAGAUAUUAGGAGGAACACCAGUGGCGAAGGCGGUCUGCUGGACAGCAACUGACGCUGAGGCGCGAAAGCGUGGGGAGCAAACAGGAUUAGGUACCCUGGUAGUCCACGCUGUAAACGAUGGAUACUAGGUGUGGGGGGUCUGACCCCCUCCGUGCCGCAGUUAACACAAUAAGUAUCCCACCUGGGGAGUACGAUCGCAAGGUUGAAACUCAAAGGAAUUGACGGGGGCCCGCACAAGCGGUGGAGUAUGUGGUUUAAUUCGAAGCAACGCGAAGAACCUUACCAGGGCUUGACAUCCCGGUGACCGCUCUAGAGAUAGAGUUUUCCUUCGGGACACCGGUGACAGGUGGUGCAUGGUUGUCGUCAGCUCGUGUCGUGAGAUGUUGGGUUAAGUCCCGCAACGGGCGCAACCCCUAUUGUUAGUUGCUACGCAAGAGCACUCUAGCGAGACUGCCGUUGACAAAACGGAGGAAGGUGGGGACGACGUCAAAUCAUCAUGCCCCUUAUGUCCUGGGCCACACACGUACUACAAUGGUGGUUAACAGAGGGAGGCAAUACCGCGAGGUGGAGCAAAACCCUAAAAGCCAUCCCAGUUCGGAUUGCAGGCUGCAACCCGCCUGCAUGAAGUUGGAAUCGCUAGUAAUCGCGGAUCAGCAUGCCGCGGUGAAUACGUUCCCGGGCCUUGUACACACCGCCCGUCACACCAUGAGAGUCGGGAACACCCGAAGUCCGUAGCCUAACCGCAAGGAGGGCGCGGCCGAAGGUGGGUUCGAUAAUUGGGGUGAAGUCGUAACAAGGUAACCA